This 494-nucleotide ribosomal RNA is filed under the name uncultured bacterium. RNAcentral describes it as "partial 16S ribosomal RNA". It matches the Rfam family "Bacterial small subunit ribosomal RNA", at positions 28 to 507 of the family's 1533-position model. The record is from RNAcentral.
GACGAACGCUGGCGGCGUGCUUAACACAUGCAAGUCGAACGGAAAGGCCUGCUUUCCCUUGUGGAUUGCGGGUACUCGAGUGGCGAACGGGUGAGUAACACGUGAGUGAUCUGCCCCCAACUUGGGUAUAAGCCUGGGAAACUGGGUCUAAUUCCCGAUAGGACUGCAGGGUGGUGCCUGUGGUGGAAAACGAUUUUCUAGUGGUUGGGGAUGAGCUCGCGGCCUAUCAGCUUGUUGGUGGGGUAAUGGCCUACCAAGGCGGCGACGGGUAGCCGGCCUGAGAGGGUGGACGGCCACAUUGGGACUGAGAUACGGCCCAGACUCCUACGGGAGGCAGCAGUGGGGAAUAUUGCACAAUGGGCGGAAGGCUGAUGCAGCGACGCCGCGUGGGGGAUGACGGCAUUCGGGUUGUAAACUCCUUUCGACCGCGAGGAAGCCACCUGGUUGGAAGGGUGGUGACGGUAGUGGUAGAAGAAGCACCGGCUAACUACGUG